RNAcentral lists this ribosomal RNA (87 nucleotides) under Geum canadense. RNAcentral's name for it is "partial 5.8S ribosomal RNA". It matches the Rfam family "5.8S ribosomal RNA", at positions 73 to 154 of the family's 154-position model. Rfam says of the family: 5.8S ribosomal RNA (5.8S rRNA) is a component of the large subunit of the eukaryotic ribosome. It is transcribed by RNA polymerase I as part of the 45S precursor that also contains 18S and 28S rRNA. Functionally, it is thought that 5.8S rRNA may be involved in ribosome translocation. The record is from RNAcentral. Lineage: Eukaryota; Viridiplantae; Streptophyta; Magnoliopsida; Rosales; Rosaceae.
UGCAGAAUCCCGUGAACCAUCGAGUUUUUGAACGCAAGUUGCGCCCGAAGCCAUCAGGCCGAGGGCACGUCUGCCUGGGCGUCACAC